GGGUUGUGAGGUUAAGCGACUAAGCGUACACGGUGGAUGCCCUGGCAGUCAGAGGCGAUGAAGGACGUGCUAAUCUGCGAUAAGCGCCGGUAAGGUGAUAUGAACCGUUAUAACCGGCGAUUUCCGAAUGGGGAAACCCAGUGUGACUCGUCACACUAUCAUUAACUGAAUCCAUAGGUUAAUGAGGCGAA
RNAcentral lists this ribosomal RNA (191 nucleotides) under Salmonella enterica subsp. enterica serovar Schwarzengrund. Its description in RNAcentral is "partial 23S ribosomal RNA". It matches the Rfam family "Bacterial large subunit ribosomal RNA", at positions 1 to 183 of the family's 2925-position model. Lineage: Bacteria; Pseudomonadati; Pseudomonadota; Gammaproteobacteria; Enterobacterales; Enterobacteriaceae. The record is from RNAcentral.